GGUGGGGUGACUGCGUACCUUUUGUAUAAUGGGUCAGCGACUUAUAUUCUGUAGCAAGGUUAACCGAAUAGGGGAGCCGGAGGGAAACCGAGUCUUAAUUGGGCGUUAAGUUGCAGGGUAUAGACCCGAAACCCGGUGAUCUAGCCAUGGGCAGGUUGAAGGUUGGGUAACACUAACUGGAGGACCGAACCGACUAAUGUUGAAAAAUUAGCGGAUGACCUGUGGCUGGGGGUGAAAGGCCAAUCAAACCGGGAGAUAGCUGGUUCUCCCCGAAAGCUAUUUAGGUAGCGCCUCGUGAAUUCAUCUCCGGGGGUAGAGCACUGUUUCGGCUAGGGGGCCAUCCCGGCUUACCAACCCGAUGCAAACUGCGAAUACCGGAGAAUGUUAUCACGGGAGACACACGGCGGGUGCUAACGUCCGUCGUGAAGAGGGAAACAACCCAGACCGCCAGCUAAGGUCCCAAAGUCAUGGUUAAGUGGGAAACGAUGUGGGAAGGCCCAGACAGCCAGGAUGUUGGCUUAGAAGCAGCCAUCAUUUAAAGAAAGCGUAAUAGCUCACUGGUCGAGUCGGCCUGCGCGGAAGAUGUAACGGGGCUAAACCAU
This 602-nucleotide ribosomal RNA is filed under the name Salmonella enterica subsp. enterica. RNAcentral's name for it is "partial 23S ribosomal RNA". It matches the Rfam family "Bacterial large subunit ribosomal RNA", at positions 587 to 1190 of the family's 2925-position model. Lineage: Bacteria; Pseudomonadati; Pseudomonadota; Gammaproteobacteria; Enterobacterales; Enterobacteriaceae. The record is from RNAcentral.